This 466-nucleotide ribosomal RNA is filed under the name uncultured bacterium. RNAcentral's name for it is "partial 16S ribosomal RNA". It matches the Rfam family "Bacterial small subunit ribosomal RNA", at positions 29 to 506 of the family's 1533-position model. The record is from RNAcentral.
ACGAACGCUGGCGGCGUGCUUAACACAUGCAAGUCGAACGGAAAGGCCCUGCUUUUGUGGGGUGCUCGAGUGGCGAACGGGUGAGUAACACGUGAGUAACCUGCCCUUGACUUUGGGAUAACUUCAGGAAACUGGGGCUAAUACCGGAUAGGAGCUCCUGCUGCAUGGUGGGGGUUGGAAAGUUUCGGCGGUUGGGGAUGGACUCGCGGCUUAUCAGCUUGUUGGUGGGGUAGUGGCUUACCAAGGCUUUGACGGGUAGCCGGCCUGAGAGGGUGACCGGCCACAUUGGGACUGAGAUACGGCCCAGACUCCUACGGGAGGCAGCAGUGGGGAAUAUUGCACAAUGGGCGGAAGCCUGAUGCAGCAACGCCGCGUGCGGGAGGACGGCCUUCGGGUGGUAAACCGCUUUCGCCUGUGACGAAGCGUGAGUGACGGGAAUGGGUAAAGAAGCACCGGCUAACUACGU